CAGUCCCGCGGGAAUACGAAGGGUGCAAGCGUUACUCGGAAUUACUGGGCGUAAAGCGUGCGUAGGUGGCGGUUUAAGUCCGUUGUGAAAGCCCUGGGCUCAACCUGGGAAUUGCAGUGGAUACUGGGUCACUAGAGUGUGGUAGAGGAUAGUGGAAUUUCCGGUGUAGCAGUGAAAUGCGUAGAGAUCGGAAGGAACAUCUGUGGCGAAGGCGACUAUCUGGGCCAACACUGACACUGAGGCACGAAAGCGUGGGGAGCAAACAGGAUUAGAUACCCGGGUAGUCCCUGUCUCUUAUACA
RNAcentral lists this ribosomal RNA (301 nucleotides) under uncultured bacterium. RNAcentral describes it as "partial 16S ribosomal RNA". It matches the Rfam family "Bacterial small subunit ribosomal RNA", at positions 512 to 808 of the family's 1533-position model. The record is from RNAcentral.